This 279-nucleotide long non-coding RNA is filed under the name Homo sapiens (human). RNAcentral describes it as "HSALNT0311693". The record is from RNAcentral. Lineage: Eukaryota; Metazoa; Chordata; Mammalia; Primates; Hominidae.
UGGGAGUCCAAGGCGCGAAGAUCGCUUGAGCCGAGGAGUUAGAGACCAACUUGGGCAACGUAGGAGACCUCCGUCUCCACAAGUAAAAUUAAUUAGCCGGCUGUGGUGGCGCGCACCUGUGGUCCCAGCUACUCAGGAGGCUGAGAGAGGAGAUGAUGUGUCCAAGGUCACUCUGAGAACUGAACAGAGGGCCGCCUUCUGGGACCCAAGACUCCAGGUUCCAGCCCACUGCCCAGCUGCCUCACCCUGUCAUGAGCACAAUAAAGGAGUUUCAUGAUU